This 235-nucleotide ribosomal RNA is filed under the name uncultured bacterium. Its description in RNAcentral is "partial 16S ribosomal RNA". It matches the Rfam family "Bacterial small subunit ribosomal RNA", at positions 100 to 334 of the family's 1533-position model. The record is from RNAcentral.
CGGCACGGGUGAGUAACACGUAUCCAACCUGCCGUCUACUCUUGGACAGCCUUCUGAAAGGAAGAUUAAUACAAGAUGGCAUCAUGAGUCCGCAUGUUCACAUGAUUAAAGGUAUUCCGGUAGACGAUGGGGAUGCGUUCCAUUAGAUAGUAGGCGGGUAACGGCCCACCUAGUCUUCGAUGGAUAGGGGUUCUGAGAGGAAGGUCCCCCACAUUGGAACUGAGACACGGUCCAA